GAUCCUGGCUCAGGAUGAACGCUAGCUACAGGCUUAACACAUGCAAGUCGAGGGGCAGCGGGAUUGAAGCUUGCUUCAAUUGCCGGCGACCGGCGCACGGGUGAGUAACGCGUAUCCAACCUUCCGUACACUCGGGGAUAGCCUUUCGAAAGAAAGAUUAAUACCUGAUGGUAUGAUGAGAUUGCAUGAUAGCAUCAUUAAAGAUUUAUCGGUGUACGAUGGGGAUGCG
RNAcentral lists this ribosomal RNA (229 nucleotides) under uncultured bacterium. Its description in RNAcentral is "partial 16S ribosomal RNA". It matches the Rfam family "Bacterial small subunit ribosomal RNA", at positions 15 to 235 of the family's 1533-position model. The record is from RNAcentral.